UUGGAGGGCAAGUCUGGUGCCAGCAGCCGCGGUAAUUCCAGCUCCAAUAGCGUAUAUUAAAGUUGUUGCAGUUAAAAAGCUCGUAGUUGAAUUUCGGGGUUAGUAGGUUGGUCAUGCCUCUGGUAUGUACUGGUCUCACUGAUUCCUCCUUCCUGAUGAGCCGUAAUGCCAUUAAUUUGGUGUUGCGGGGAAUUUGGACUGUUACUUUGAAAAAAUUAGAGUGUUUAAAGCAAGCUAACGCUUGAAUACAUUAGCACGGAAUAAUGAAAUAGGACGUUCGAUCCUAUUUUGUUGGUUUCUAGGAUUGACGUAAUGAUUAAUAGGGAUAGUUGGGGGCAUUAGUAUUCAAUUGUCAGAGGUGAAAUUCUUGGAUUUAUUGAUGACUAACUACUGCGAAAGCAUUUGCCAAGGAUGUUUUCAUUAAUCAAGAACGAAAGUUAGGGGAUCGAAGACGAUCAGAUACCGUCGUAGUCUUAACCAUAAACUAUGCCGACUAGGGAUCGGAUGAUGUUAAUUUUUUAAUGACUCAUUCGGCGCCUUACGGGAAACCAAAGUGUUUGGGUUC
RNAcentral lists this ribosomal RNA (565 nucleotides) under uncultured Glomeromycotina. Its description in RNAcentral is "SSU rRNA". It matches the Rfam family "Eukaryotic small subunit ribosomal RNA", at positions 548 to 1114 of the family's 1831-position model. The record is from RNAcentral. Lineage: Eukaryota; Fungi; Glomeromycota.